This 72-nucleotide transfer RNA is filed under the name Priestia aryabhattai. RNAcentral describes it as "tRNA-Asn". It matches the Rfam family "tRNA". Rfam says of the family: Transfer RNA (tRNA) molecules are approximately 80 nucleotides in length. Lineage: Bacteria; Bacillati; Bacillota; Bacilli; Caryophanales; Bacillaceae. The record is from RNAcentral.
UCCAUAGUAGCUCAGUUGUAGAGCUAUCGACUAUUGUCCGGUAGGUCGUAGAUUUGAGUCCUACCUGUGGGA